UGGGGAAUAUUGGACAAUGGGCGCAAGCCUGAUCCAGCCAUGCCGCGUGAGUGAUGAAGGCCCUAGGGUUGUAAAGCUCUUUCACCGGUGAAGAUAAUGACGGUAACCGGAGAAGAAGCCCCGGCUAACUUCGUGCCAGCAGCCGCGGUAAUACGAAGGGGGCUAGCCUUUUUCGGAUUUACUGGGCGUAAAGCGCACGUAGGCGGACGUUUAAGUCAGGGGUGACAUCCCGGGGCUCAACCCCGGAACUGCCUUUGAUACUGGAAGUCUUGAAUAUGGUAGAGGUGAGUGGAAUUCCGAGUGUCGAGGUGAAAUUCGUAGAUAUUCGGAGGAAAUCCAGUGGCGAAGGCGCCUCACUGGACCAUUACUGACGCUGAGGUGCGAAAGCGUGGGGAGCAAACAGG
RNAcentral lists this ribosomal RNA (404 nucleotides) under Actinomycetes bacterium. RNAcentral's name for it is "Actinobacteria bacterium partial 16S ribosomal RNA". It matches the Rfam family "Bacterial small subunit ribosomal RNA", at positions 355 to 776 of the family's 1533-position model. Lineage: Bacteria; Bacillati; Actinomycetota; Actinomycetes. The record is from RNAcentral.